Molecule: ribosomal RNA, 487 nt
Filed under: uncultured bacterium
Lineage: Bacteria
Description: bacterial SSU rRNA
Rfam family: Bacterial small subunit ribosomal RNA
Source: RNAcentral
UGAACGCUAGCGACAGGCCUAAACACAUGCAAGUCGAGGGGCAGCACGAAUCAAGCUUGCUUGAUUUGGUGGCGACCGGCGCGACGGGUGCGUAACAGGUGUGCAAUCUGUCCAUAAUCGGGGAAUAGCCCAGCGAAAGUUGGAUUAAUGCUCCAUGUGAGCAGGGGAGGCAUCUCCUUUGUUUGAAACGUAAGGAUUAUGGGUGAGCACGCUUCUGAUUAGGUAGUUGGUGAGGUAACGGCUCACCAAGCCGACGAUCAGUAGGGGUUCUGAGAGGAAGGUCCCCCACAUUGGAACUGAGACACGGUCCAAACUCCUACGGGAGGCAGCAGUGAGGAAUAUUGGUCAAUGGACGAAAGUCUGAACCAGCCAAGUCGCGUGAAGGAUGAAGGUUCUAUGGAUUGUAAACUUCUUUUGUCUGAGGGUAAAAAAGCGGACGUGUCCGUUCUUGCAAGUAUCAGACGAAUAAGCAUCGGCUAACUCCGUG